GGGCUGAUGGUCCAAAGGGACGACACUGCUCUGGCGGGGCAGAAAUCUGGGUUCGAUUCCCAGUCGGUCCAC
Molecule: transfer RNA, 72 nt
Filed under: Bremerella volcania
Lineage: Bacteria; Pseudomonadati; Planctomycetota; Planctomycetia; Pirellulales; Pirellulaceae
Description: tRNA-Ala
Rfam family: tRNA
About the family: Transfer RNA (tRNA) molecules are approximately 80 nucleotides in length. Their secondary structure includes four short double-helical elements and three loops (D, anti-codon, and T loops).
Source: RNAcentral